UCAGAUGGUGAACACAUCCUGGCCUGUGCUCCUCUCUACCAGUGGAGCACGUACAGCGUAUCAGAGAGAGAGCCUGUUGGAACAUGUUUCCUGAAGAAAGGAACAGAAGUUGUUGAAUAUUCUCCUUGCCGAUCUAAAGCCAACUCUCCAGAGGGACAAGGCUUCUGUCGGCUGGAUUCAGUAUUGACUUUGU
This is a long non-coding RNA of Salvelinus sp. IW2-2015, 193 nucleotides long. RefSeq lists it as uncharacterized. The record is from RefSeq and is a predicted model, not a curated record. Lineage: Eukaryota; Metazoa; Chordata; Actinopteri; Salmoniformes; Salmonidae.